UGCUUCUGUCCCAUGUUUAAACAUUCCCAAACUCUAGAAUCCAUGACACCUCAUAAGAAGAUAGAACUUAGAACCCUCCCCCACCCAAGUAAUAAGAUCAACGGGCCUUGCCUUCUAAGGCUGCCUUUCUCAUGCAGGAAAUAUGAGUGCACAGAACUGUAUACUAAAAAAGUAAAUGUUACAUAAUAUAUGUUUUUAAAAUUAAUAACACCAAAUUCACAUAUUUAUAAAAAAAAAUAAUACCGGUGCCGUCUAUUGCCUCUCACGGGGUUACUGUGAGGGGAAAACAGCAGAUGUGAACAAUGGUACGCUCUGCACAAACAUUAUUAUGUAUAACCUAGGCCAGGUGCGGUGGCUCACGCCUGUAAUCCCAGCACUUUGGGAGGCCGAGGUUGGCGGAUC
This 402-nucleotide long non-coding RNA is filed under the name Homo sapiens (human). RNAcentral describes it as "non-protein coding lnc-EVC-1:1". Lineage: Eukaryota; Metazoa; Chordata; Mammalia; Primates; Hominidae. The record is from RNAcentral.